CACGGGGGCGCGGGCUGGGGUCGGAGGGAGGGGAGGCGGCCGGGAGGUGCCCGUACGGAGGCUGCCGUGACAAAGGAGGGAGGGAGGAGGGGGCCUGUCGGAGGCUUGGGGUCCAUUACGACCCCUCCUCCUUUCGGAGCGCUGCGGGGAGGGAGAGAGCAGAGAGGGCAGCUGUGGGGCCGCGGGCCCCUUUCUUCCCUUUUGGUGGGCGGGGAGGGGGUCUUUCUCCAGCUCUGUUGUCCCAGCUCGCCCCUUGGUAGGGCGCCCUUUUCGGCGGUGGCGCCCCCCCCCCCCCCCCCCCCGCCAACCCUUUCGCUCCCCCCCCCCCUCGCCCGGUGCUGGCUACCCGCUGGUCCGCCUGCCCAUCUGCUUGUCUUUGAUGCUGACCAGAGCCAGCCGCUGGGCCGCCCCCGAGGGCGUCGCGGGGUGGAGGGGGCCGUACUUGCCGCCCCAGAAACACUGGGGUUCUGGUAUUCCCAGCAAGUCGCAGCAGGACUCCUGAGCUGCGGCGGGACGGGAUCCCGGCCCCCAACAGGGUGGGAACCCUUCCGGGGGCCUGGGAGCGACCCCAGGGAUGGGGUCAGCUCUGAGAUACCCAAAUCCAGGGAGAGACUCCUCCUUGGAGUGCUCUGGGAGUACCAUCCUCAUUGGUGGGGUCCCACACCUGGUGCUCACGCCUGCUUCAGUGGCCCCCUCCCUUUCCAGCCGUGGCUGUUCCCUCUUACCCCCUUGGAUCUGCUUCUCCAACUCCUCUUUGAAAUCAGAGGGACCUGGAUUCUAAGUUCAUUUCUACUAUUGGCCAAAUAAUUCCCUUAUUCCUGUGCUCGGGUUAUGUCAUCUGCAAAAUGGGCACAGUCGUAGGUACCUUGCAAGGUUAUCUUGGAGAUUUCAUAAUACUAGGUGAGUUCUGUGGGCACAAGGUUUAUAGGGGCUCAGUAAAUGUUGUUUCUCUAAGCCCUUUAACUUGUUGUCACAUUGGAAGAAUUUGAAUAAAAGGCAUAUAAAUCAGAGGUUACAGAUUGGAAGCGUACCAGACUUUCUUCUCUUUAUGGCAUCCCCACCCCUGAAAACAUUCUGUGUACAAAAGGGAAGAGUAGCAGAGUCAGCACUUAGGUUAAGUCAGGGUCUCCUGGCCUUCAGUAACCCUGUCUGAAACGUUGCAAGAUGGUAUCCAGGAGAUAGCUUGGGUUCAAAUUCUCUCGGCCAUUUAGUAACCAUAUGACCUUGAGCAAGCUACUGAACCUUUCUGGGCCUUGAUUUCCUCAUCUUUAAAAUGGGAUAAUAAUAAAGCACGUACCUCACAGUCGUGAGGUUUAAAUACGUUUAUGUUUGAAAAGUCCUCAGGACAGGGCUUGGUACAUAGAAACCGCUCAGUAAGUGUUAGUCGUUGUUAUUGUCAAGUGUUAAGCACAGGUUUCAUUCUUGUACACGCUGCACAGAGGCAGGUGACUGCCUGCGGUGGGGGCGGCGCUGGUUUGUUAGUUUGACCACAGUCCCUUGGGUGCUCUGUCUCGUUAAGUGAGGAUAAACAGGUGUAUCCGGACCCAGGCCUACGGCCUUGCCACUUUGGGUUAUGGCUACAAUUGCCUUUACCCUUAGAACAAAUACUCUGAUGGACUCCGCUUAUGGCCCUGAGCUAGCUCACAGAGUCAUAUCAGCUGCAGCAGGUCUGGUGUCCAGCUCUGGAACUGGAUGGGGACCGCUCAGAGGAUAACUGAGGGGCAGGAUCGGUGAGCUCUGAGUGGGAACCGAGAGAAUCUGCGUCUGAAGAGCAGCUAGAACACUUGGUGGUUGUUACCCACGUAGCUCCCAGCCCUGAGCCACUUCCACACAUCUGACUGUUGCCAGGCUCCUGUCACAUACCAGCACCCCCUUCGCAGGUCCCUCGGUGCUCCGGUCUGGAAUGUCUGUGUCACCCACCUCCCCCCCCCCCCACCCGUAUGUUAAAGUCCGAACUCCCAGGGGACUGAGACGCAGGUUCACCUGUUAGAACUGGCGCAGACGCACCGCACAAAGGUGCCCCCGUGAGAAGUUCAGAGGGCCUAGAUAUGCAGUCGAUACUCUGCUCUCCAAGCUGCGGAUCCUAGAGAAAAAGAUGUCCUGCUGUGUUUUUGAGGCUGGGUCUGCCCGAGGGGACCUCUUUUUCUAGCCCCCCUCCAAAGCCCUGGAAUAGGUUAGCAGCACCUCUACACCUGAAUUUGUGAGCACACAUCCACACUGCACCGAUGUGCACCACAGCUCGGAGCGCUGGCCUCCCUAGACGUCCUCCUGGCCCCUGAUACCCGACCCGGGAUGGAAGCCCCAGAGAGGAAUGCCCCGGUGACUGAACGGACUCCCCCUCUGAGCAUGGCCGUAGGCAGUUUCCUGCCUCAUCCCCCGGGGCUUGUUAGAUGUUCCUGGCGGUGUGCCUAUCCUGGGUAGGCCCAUGGUGACCAUGGGGACUCCUUCACGGAACCGGGAGACAGGCAUGGAAGUAGAGACCGCACCCCCCUCCCCUGCUACCUGCCCUCUCCUGCUGAAUUCCCACCCAUGCUCCCGAGGGCCCAGAUGCCUAGAGACAGUGGGCUAUGUCUAUGGUUUGGAACAAAAUCUCCAGAAGUGGAGCAUCCAGUUGAUGACGGAACCCUCAUUACUGUUGAUCUACGGCGGAUUCUUGGGACUGUCAAGGAGGGGAUCCCCCAUUUGUGGUCUCAUCCAGUGGUCAGGAGGGGGAGGAGGACCGGGGGCUCCAGGGCCAGCUGGACGAGCAGAGAGGCCUUAAGAGGAAGUUACUUGUCUCUGUGGAAGGAAUGCUUCAAGGAGGGUGUGGAAUUUUGGUUCUCUUGCGCUGGAAACUGCGGUUUGGAGUUCCAAGACCGAAGGCUCGGAAGAGGAGAGAUGCUGAGUGGAAAUGAUGGCCCCGGUGUGUGAGCUGCAAGGCCAGUGCAGCCUGGCCAUGUGGAAAGGAACAAAGCAAACCUUCUCCUUUGGCUCAUACGAGUCUUACUGAGUUCCCUUCUUUGGGCAAUUAAAAGGAGUUAUUAAUUUC
Long non-coding RNA from Acinonyx jubatus (cheetah), 3028 nucleotides. RefSeq lists it as uncharacterized. The record is from RefSeq and is a predicted model, not a curated record. The transcript is spliced from 2 exons. Lineage: Eukaryota; Metazoa; Chordata; Mammalia; Carnivora; Felidae.